UUGUGGUUAAAAAGCUCGUAGUUGGAUCUCGGCGGUCUGAGGGCGGUUCGCUUGAUUGAGUGCUACUGCUCUAUAGGCCGUGGUUUUGCCAGAGGUCUCGGGGUGCUCUUAACCGAGUGUCCUGCGAUGCUGGCAGGUUUACUUUGAAAAAAUUAGAGUGCUCAAAGCAGGCUUUUACGCCUGAAUAUUCGUGCAUGGAAUAAUAGAAUAGGAAGUCGUUUCUAUUUUGUUGGUUUUCGGAAAUCGACUUAAUGAUUAAUAGGGACAGUCGGGGGCAUUUGUAUUCAAACGACAGAGGUGAAAUUCUUGGACCGUUUGAAGACAAACUACUGCGAAAGCAUUUGCCCAGAAUGUUUUCAUUAAUCAAGAACGUAAGUUAGAGGUUCGAAGGCGAUUAGAUACCGCCCUAGUUCUA
Molecule: ribosomal RNA, 415 nt
Filed under: uncultured marine eukaryote
Lineage: Eukaryota
Description: SSU rRNA
Rfam family: Eukaryotic small subunit ribosomal RNA
Source: RNAcentral